This 74-nucleotide transfer RNA is filed under the name Klebsiella michiganensis. RNAcentral describes it as "tRNA-Gly(gcc)". It matches the Rfam family "tRNA". From Rfam's summary of the family: Transfer RNA (tRNA) molecules are approximately 80 nucleotides in length. Lineage: Bacteria; Pseudomonadati; Pseudomonadota; Gammaproteobacteria; Enterobacterales; Enterobacteriaceae. The record is from RNAcentral. RNAcentral also lists the same sequence under 1 other name.
UGCGGGAAUAGCUCAGUUGGUAGAGCACGACCUUGCCAAGGUCGGGGUCGCGAGUUCGAGUCUCGUUUCCCCGC